GUUUAAUUUAACCACAGCAUUCAUUUAUGUCUAGCAGUUAAAUUUUUUCUUUUAAGCUCAAAGGAACUGUGAGUUGUAACUAUGAUCUAAUUGGUAAGGAAUGAAGAAUGUUUUUCAUGUUUUAUAGACAACAUGAAUCCUGAUCACUUUACAGCAGUAAAUUAUGAAGUACUCCACUUGUUGUGUCUCCCUGUGGAAGCCAGGGCUUAGCUCAUUAAACUAUAAAAAUAACUUGCUGGGUUCGGCAGCUUCUAGAAAGGCUCUCUGACAAGCUACAUUUCACUGGCUUCCUGGUUCCUUUCUGCAACGCAAAUGACCUGUACAACACUUGUGACAUGUCAAACCAGUCUUCUACGCGGGGAGAAAAAGGGCAUACAAGUCGGGAGUGCCUGGUUUCCUGAUGGCUUAAAGAGAAAUAAAGAAUGACCUUUGGGACAUUUGAAAACAAGGAGCAAAAAUCAUCUGUCCACUCUCCCCAUUGUGAAAGACCUUAAAAAAUUAAGUGCUAAUGAUCUACUGUUUAAUAUGCAUACUAAAUUACCUCUUACCUAAUAAACCAGGUAACUUACUUAAUUUUACUGGAAGAAAAAUUACUAUAAAUUUUAUACUUUUUCUCUUGGCCUUAAAGAGUCAAAUAUCCAGUUGCAAAUAACUUGAAAAUCAUGCCCACAGCUCAUGACUGGAGGAAGUUAGAAAAAGACUGUGAUACAAAAUGUGUAGCCUGCAGAGUUUGCUAUCGAGCCCUGUAAUGAUCGAUUCCAUUCACUUGACUCUGAUUCUAUAGUGAAUAGACUCUUUAGCAAGGACUUAGCAGCAGCAAUUUCAACAGAACAUUUUUUUUCCAUGAUUAGAACAACAGCCAUGUACUUAGACUGCAACUCUAAGUUCUACUUACCACAGAGUUAUUUUACCUGUAUUCCUUAUAUUUACAAAGUCAAAUAAAAACAACCUCUGUUAUCAGAAUACUGUUAGGAUUUACUGGUAAAAUAUUAAAUACCAUGUACCAUGACAAUAGAUUACAUGAACAGUUAUCCUAUAA
This 1039-nucleotide long non-coding RNA is filed under the name Homo sapiens (human). RNAcentral describes it as "HSALNT0093776". The record is from RNAcentral. Lineage: Eukaryota; Metazoa; Chordata; Mammalia; Primates; Hominidae.